UAGCAUGUGCGCGAGUCAUUGGGACUUGCUAAACCUAAAGGCGUAAUGAAAGUGAAGGCCCGCCUUGCGCGGGCCGAGGGAGGAUGGGUGGCGUCACGACGCCGCCCCGCACUCCCGGGGCGUCUCAUUCUCAUUGCGAGAAGAGGCGCACCCAGAGCGUACACGCUGGGACCCGAAAGAUGGUGAACUAUGCCUGGUCAGGACGAAGUCAGGGGAAACCCUGAUGGAGGUCCGUAGCGAUUCUGACGUGCAAAUCGAUCGUCGGAACUGGGUAUAGGGGCGAAAGACUAAUCGAACCAUCUAGUAGCUGGUUCCCUCCGAAGUUUCCCUCAGGAUAGCUGGCGCUCGCUUUGCGAGUCUCAUCCGGUAAAGCGAAUGAUUAGAGGCAUUGGGGUCGAAACGGCCUCAACCUAUUCUCAAACUUUAAAUGGGUGAGAUCUCCGGCUUGCUCGAACUUGAAGCCGCGAGAUAUUACAAGGAUCAGAGUGCCAAGUGGGCCACUUUUGGUAAGCAGAACUGGCGCUGUGGGAUGAACCAAACGCAGAGUUAAAGCGCCUAAAUCGACGCUUAUGGGAUACCAUGAAAGGCGUUGGUAACU
RNAcentral lists this ribosomal RNA (598 nucleotides) under Enochrus (Hugoscottia) sp. IBE-AB326. RNAcentral's name for it is "eukaryotic LSU rRNA". It matches the Rfam family "Eukaryotic large subunit ribosomal RNA", at positions 676 to 1232 of the family's 3401-position model. The record is from RNAcentral. Lineage: Eukaryota; Metazoa; Arthropoda; Insecta; Coleoptera; Hydrophilidae.